RNAcentral lists this ribosomal RNA (473 nucleotides) under uncultured bacterium. RNAcentral describes it as "bacterial SSU rRNA". It matches the Rfam family "Bacterial small subunit ribosomal RNA", at positions 329 to 793 of the family's 1533-position model. The record is from RNAcentral.
GCAGAGCAUCCUACGGGAGGCAGCAGUGGGGAAUAUUGCACAAUGGGCGCAAGCCUGAUGCAGCCAUGCCGCGUGUAUGAAGAAGGCCUUCGGGUUGUAAAGUACUUUCAGCAGUGAGGAAGGUGGAUAUGUUAAUAGCAUAUUCAUUUGACGUUAGGCUGCAGAAGAAGCACCGGCUAACUCCGUGCCAGCAGCCGCGGUAAUACGGAGGGUGCGAGCGUUAAUCGGAAUUACUGGGCGUAAAGCGCAUGCAGGUGGUUUGUUAAGUCAGAUGUGAAAGCCCCGGGGCUCAACCUCGGAAUUGCAUUUGAAACUGGCAAACUAGAGUACUGUAGAGGGGGUAGAAUUUCAGGUGUAGCGGUGAAAUGCGUAGAGAUCUGAAGGAAUACCGGUGGCGAAGGCGGCCCCCUGGACAGAUACUGACACUCAGAUGCGAAAGCGUGGGGAGCAAACAGGAUUAGAUACCCUGGUAG